Molecule: small nucleolar RNA, 83 nt
Organism: Impatiens glandulifera
Lineage: Eukaryota; Viridiplantae; Streptophyta; Magnoliopsida; Ericales; Balsaminaceae
Product: small nucleolar RNA Z199
Exons: 1
Source: RefSeq, a predicted model, not a curated record
GAAUCAGGUGAUGAUGAAACAAAACUGCAACAAUAUGAUUGAAAAUUUUCCAUGAUUCAUUUUUAUUUAAGUCUCUGAUGAUU